CCUGUUGAUGUAAUAGCUGACAUUGGAGUUAUGGACCCUCAUGAAUUAGAACCACCAACCACCUUUGAGAUAAAACAAGAAAAAAUAUAUAUCUUAGAAAGGAAACUCAUGUCUCAACUCAAGGACAUGAUAUACAAAAAAAAUUCAUCCAUAAAGUCAAUUCCCAAAAGGCAAACAGUCCAUCAUCUAAGUGAAAAAAAAAAUAUCCUAGUACCGAUUAUCCCAAGGAUAUGCUAAACUACUGAGACUAGUAGUGGAUCAAGAGGUAUCAAAUGCUGAACCCUGUGGAUAAACUCAGCCCCAGUCCAAACUUCUGAUUCCUUCUAAUAAAGAUAUUAACAGAAAUAGGCAUUCAUUAUGUAACAACCUUAUAUAACCCUUUAAAUAAUACCUUCUAAUCAAAGUCCCAAUCAUGGGCAGGAAAGAAGCUUAGUUAUUGUUGCCUACAAUCAAGCUCUUCACAUUUUGUUGAUCAUUCAUCCAUUCUUAUCUUUACAUUUAUCAAGAUUUCACCCCAAAAUGGAUCAAGGGCAGUUUUUCUGAACAUACAUCAGUAGCCAAUGUAUUGCAAAGCCAAUCCUAUUUAUUUUCUAAAAGCUCUAAUCCCUUUUGCUUUGGAUGCCCUUUUUUCAAUUCCAAUUCUUAUUAGCAAACGUCUACUUAGUUUAUGUAACCAUGAAUCUCCCAAGUUUACACAAUUAUGCUUUCCUUUUAAUCUCUAAAAUUUUAACAAAUUCAAAACUUUUGGAUCAUCAAAUUCUCAAUCAUUCAAUAGCAUAUCAAAAUUCAGAAAGCAAAAUAACGAAAGGUUAAAUAUUUAUUACACGAUUUUGAUCCAAAACACACUCCAGGAUCCAAACUUUAAACAAAAAUUGAAACCCUAACAAUAUCAACCCUGACAUAAUUUACAUAGCAUAGCGAAAACAAAGUAUUUGUAGCAUUGAAUUACCAAUUAAGCUCCGAAUCCGAACCCGAUCUGAACCAGGACUCAGACCUCAAGUUCCGCCACUAGAUCGGUGGAGGUACAGCUUGCCGAACACAUGAAGAGCCGUGAUGAAGCCAAUGAAGCAGAGGCUCAUGACGACACCAGUUGGGGAACUAGCAGGGAGAUUUAGAGCGAUACUAGCAGAUUGACGAAGAUCGUUAAGUAAAAGCUCAGAGGGCUGAGAAGCUCACCAUUAUUGCAGUUUUCUCAAGAAAAAAAUGAAAAUCAGAAGUUAGAAAGAGAGAGAGAGAAAAAGGAAUCUUCCCAGAACAAGUACGAAGGGGAAGAAAGAACAAGGGGUAAACGAGAGGGAAAUGGUGAAUAGGAAAAUCUGUAGAUGGCUAAGAACCGGUGGGGAGUUUUCAAGUCGGCAAUGGUAGGUGGGAGUCUGCCCAGAGAAUAAAGAGGAAGCCAUAAGAAAUAGGAAUUGAGAAGGAUUUCACUUAAAUUUUGAGAAGGGCGGGAAUAUUAGUAAGUUUCAUAGAUUUCAAAUUUUGGGAAAUUUGUAAUCCCGCUUUCUGAUUUUUUGUUUAAUAAUGUGUGUAAUUCUACCACACUUAAUGAUCGUGGUAGAUAAAAAGAAUCCAUAGUGGUUACGAACUAUAUACCACGUUGAAGGCCCGUGGUGGUUUAAUAUUUUUACAACGUGUUGACUAAGUUCGUGGUAUUAGAUUAUUUUAUCAUAACGGG
This 1675-nucleotide long non-coding RNA is filed under the name Malus domestica (apple). RNAcentral describes it as "long non-coding RNA (MDOM_LNC010203)". Lineage: Eukaryota; Viridiplantae; Streptophyta; Magnoliopsida; Rosales; Rosaceae. The record is from RNAcentral.